RNAcentral lists this unclassified non-coding RNA (241 nucleotides) under Hevea brasiliensis (rubber tree). Lineage: Eukaryota; Viridiplantae; Streptophyta; Magnoliopsida; Malpighiales; Euphorbiaceae. The record is from RNAcentral.
AUCAGGUGGUAUAUUUCCUUUGUUGUAUUUUCCAGUGAGAACGCCCGAAGCCAGUGGACUCCAUGUUGUUAGACCUAAGCCAUAGUUGGUGUACAGAGGGAGAAACUCGGCCUCCACCUUAUGCCGAGAUAACAAAUUGUACUCCGGCUGCUCCACAAUCGGCCCAACCAAAUCCAAUCUCUCAGCGAUCCCCCAAGCCUCAGUGAUCUGCUGAGCCGACCACUCACUAGUUCCCCAAUAG